Mastomys coucha (southern multimammate mouse) is the source of this 2787-nucleotide long non-coding RNA. RefSeq lists it as uncharacterized. The transcript has 2 exons. NCBI's taxonomy places the organism in Eukaryota, Metazoa, Chordata, Mammalia, Rodentia, Muridae. The record is from RefSeq and is a predicted model, not a curated record.
CGGACACACACACACACACACACACACACACACGAACACACAUGGAUACACGCAUACACACGGGCACAUGCAUACGCACACACGCAUGCACAAGGGUGCCAGGGGGAUGAGACUUCUCUCACACUCGCCGCCCCUCGCCCCUUCGGCACCGUGGGAGGACUUUUGGCUGCGCAAGGUUGUCUGACCAGGGGUCAGCAGGGCGUGGCGUCCGGAAUCCCGCAGCCCCAGGCGCCCGGGGGAGGGGACAGGGCGAAGGGCGGAGCAGUGUCUCCCAGCCCCGGGCGCCGCCCCCGCCCCGGUGGCCCACCCUCCCCGCUCACCCACGGACGCGCCGAUCCUCGCCCUCCGCGCUUCUGCUCUUUUGUAUCCAGCCCGACGGGGUCUGCAAAGGGUCCUUUGUGCAGUAAGAAUUUCCAGGCUGAGACCUGAAAUUCAGAGAAGUGCUGGGUCUGCAGCUCCUGUCCUCAACGGCGUGUCACAGUCGGGAGACCUCCAGAACGCUCACCCACCACACACAUCCACUCCCACGACACACGCAAUGCACCUUCUACAUGCAAACAAAUCCAUUGAGAGGUAAGGGAUGACUGGCCCAAGGUCACUCGGCUUGCUUUUGUUUGAUUUCUCCCUUCACUUAAUGUUUAAACUGAGUCCUUCUGAGCACAGUUCUAUGGGGGGUAGUGAAGAAGCCAGCUAAAUCUUUACUGUGUCUGACGAAAUCUUGACUUUAGACUAAAAGCAGAAAAACAAACCAGCCAACGGGAUUCUGAUCUACUCUUGCAAAAGGGAUCAUUACCUUUCCUUUUACAUAAGGUGGGGGAGCCUCUGGGGCUUGGAGGGCCAUGGAGUGAUGGGCUGUAGGAUGUAAGAAGGCGGUUGGCUCAACACGACUCAGAAGCCGGUGUUGGUUCAAACUUCAGGAGUCUGACCACGAGUGGUUUAUUUUAAGCACAUUUAGCACAGCCGAAUUUGGUGAAAACUAUUCCGGUGAUGAACUCAAUCUCGCGUACACAACAGAGCAUACAUAAGCCUCCUUUAGGAACAUAGUCAGCUAAAUACGGAUUGGACGUGACUACAUAAGUCCAUAAACAUAGGUUCUAUAGAUUGACUGAGAAAAAAGUUUUUGAUAAGAGUCUGAGGAAGGGUCUGAUGCUGAGAAAUUCUGUGGCCACACAGAUAGAAAAAAGUCACCCGGCUGGGAACCACAACCAGCCUUCUGGAUCGGUAACAGGUAUUGUCUUCUUUGAAGGAGCAACCUUGUGUGCUUAAAAUCCCAGGUUCCUCCAAGUGGUUAUCUGUGAGCACAAACACCUCCAAGCCUCCUCCGAUAAAGCAUGGACUCUGGCCCUCAGGGUAAACAUUGUUUCUGAGAAGAAAUGACUUUUUAGCCGGGAGGUCCAAGAAAAGGGAAAUGUGUCAAGUGUUGAGCAGAGUUGAGCUUCAGGGCAGCAGAACUUCUCAGUGAGUCUCUCAGGCUGCUCUCAAAGCUUCGACUGACCACUGCACUGAAGCUGUUAAAAACAUCCAUUACUAUAUAUGUCAUUAUCCCCCCAAACAGGAAAGAAUGACCAGAACUCGAUGAGAAUAGAAAAAAUAGACAAUAGCCAUUUGUAAUUGUUCUUUGAUUUCACCGAAUCACAAAAUCUUAUGGUUCCUGUCUUUGUGGGUACCUUCCGGUAACCAAAUUGUCCCAGAGCUCUGGAGAAGUAGGACAGUAGCUUAGGAAGGAAGGAGUCUUACUGUGCUGGGGCGGCCUGAGCUCACUCCCAAGUGUAGCUCAAGAUGACGUGAAACUGGUGGUGAUCAUCCUGCCUCAGCCUCCCAAGUGUGGGGGUUACAGGUGUGAGGCAUCAUGCAGGUUUGUGGAAGGAGCAUUAAGGUCGUUCACUUGCCACACUCAGGAGAGACUGUCAAGGGCAAUGGAGGAGUGUUGAGCUUAUCUCCAUGGUAAAUUCCCCUCAUUGCCUUAGCAGAAUUGGAAAGAUUAGAUUGGCAUUUGCUGCAGAACGUAGACCUCUGACCCACCAUCGGUGAUAAAAGGAAGCAAAGGCACACAAGACGAAAACCAAGCAAUGAGCAGUGUCUCUUAAUCACAAUAUCUAAGGGCAAUGUAAAUCACACAUAGGCUGUGCUGUCUUUGAACAGAAACCCUUGUGUCCUUGCCAGAGGUAGUCUGGGCCUGAGGUACAGAGGAUUUACCAAUAGGAGGAAGGAGAGGCAGACAUAAAAUCCAGAACAAUGGGAGCGUCUGGGAGGCGUGUUUCAUCUCUACUUAUAUGAAAGCAGAACUUUCAAGAUAAUUGCCUCAAUUAAUUGGCCGUGGCUGCAAGUUUUCCCAAGUGGGGAACAGAGCAGCCCUUUGGGGAGGUGAAUGAGGCCUUGGGAGAGUGGCAUCACUGAAUUUGACUAAACCACAGCUCUAGAACCAUUUCUUUUCAAAAUGUUUAUGUGUGUGAUUUUUUUAUAAACACACAUUAAAAAAAAAAAACCAAGACAGUGUCGUGUAGAGCGCACAUUAAAAUAUAGAGACAGAUCCAUCUAAGUUUAAACCCCACCACAGGCCUGUAACCCACCCCCUAGUCUCUCUCUCCCUUUCCUCCUGCCCACAGACCAGCUCCUUCCUCAUCUUCAUCCUCUUCCUCCUUUCCAUGGUAUUUACAGGGCCACAAGCUAACAGUCAACUCUAACAGCAUGGGGUAAAGGAUCUUCGAUAGGAGAUCACGUCAUGCAAAUCUCAUUCUUGUACAGAUUCUUAUUAAAGACUCCAUGGAUGCGUUCCGAUGACCUAAU